CCUGAGCUGCUGGGCUGCAUUGCAACAGAACAUUCACCUUUUUGUCUUCAUGUGUCAAUGAGCUGUGGGACAGUUGAGCAUACUGAAAAGCUAUCCCUGUACAAGGCCGGAUCCACACUGAUGCUUUGACC
Long non-coding RNA from Alosa sapidissima (American shad), 131 nucleotides. RefSeq lists it as uncharacterized. The record is from RefSeq and is a predicted model, not a curated record. The transcript has 3 exons. Lineage: Eukaryota; Metazoa; Chordata; Actinopteri; Clupeiformes; Clupeidae.